GAUGAACGCUGGCGGCGUGCCUAAUACAUGCAAGUCGAGCGAACAGACGAGGAGCUUGCUCCUCUGACGUUAGAGGCGGACGGGUGAGUAACACGUGGAUAACCUACCUAUAAGACUGGGAUAACUUCGGGAAACCGGAGCUAAUACCGGAUAAUAUAUUGAACCGCAUGGUUCAAUAGUGAAAGACGGUUUUGCUGUCACUUAUAGCUGGAUCCGCGCCGCAUUAGCUAGUUGGUAAGGUAACGGCUUACCAAGGCAACGAUGCGUAGCCGACCUGAGAGGGUGAUCGGCCACACUGGAACUGAGACACGGUCCAGACUCCUACGGGAGGCAGCAGUAGGGAAUCUUCCGCAAAGGGCGAAAGCCUGACGGAGCAACGCCGCGUGAGUGAUGAAGGUCUUCGGAUCGUAAAACUCUGUUAUUAGGGAAGAACAAAUGUGUAAGUAACUAUGCACGUCUUGACGGUACCUAAUCAGAAAGCCACGGCUAACUACGUG
RNAcentral lists this ribosomal RNA (497 nucleotides) under uncultured bacterium. RNAcentral's name for it is "partial 16S ribosomal RNA". It matches the Rfam family "Bacterial small subunit ribosomal RNA", at positions 28 to 507 of the family's 1533-position model. The record is from RNAcentral.